This 301-nucleotide ribosomal RNA is filed under the name uncultured bacterium. RNAcentral describes it as "partial 16S ribosomal RNA". It matches the Rfam family "Bacterial small subunit ribosomal RNA", at positions 509 to 807 of the family's 1533-position model. The record is from RNAcentral.
CAGCAGCCACGGUAAUACGGAGGGUGCAAGCGUUAAUCGGAAUUACUGGGCGUAAAGCGCACGCAGGCGGUUUGUUAGGUCAGAUGUGAAAUCCCCGAGCUUAACUUGGGAACUGCAUUUGAAACUGGCAAGCUAGAGUCUUGUAGAGGGGGGUAGAAUUCCAGGUGUAGCGGUGAAAUGCGUAGAGAUCUGGAGGAAUACCGGUGGCGAAGGCGGCCCCCUGGACAAAGACUGACGCUCAGGUGCGAAAGCGUGGGGAGCAAACAGGAUUAGAUACCCCAGUAGUCCCUGUCUCUUAUAC